This is a non-coding RNA of Caenorhabditis elegans, 171 nucleotides long. NCBI's taxonomy places the organism in Eukaryota, Metazoa, Nematoda, Chromadorea, Rhabditida, Rhabditidae. The record is from Ensembl.
AUGUAGUGCGGCAAGAAACCCGGUAGAUGUCGUGCCAUGCUUAUCAGUCGAAGCUCCAAAUUUUUAGAUUUUCACAGAAAAUUUCCCUGUAGUUUGAAGAAUCAGAAUUCCAGAGAUGUUUCUAGACUUUAUUAAUUCCUUAUCCAACUCCUUAUCAUCCUUAUCCUCAAC